GGUACAGCUGCUCGUCCACCUGCCUUGCCAAGGGCAAGAUCUCACAGGUCAAGCAGGGAGGGAACGUCAAGAGACCCUAGAAGGUCUUCUGACGAGAGCAGAAGAGGAAUAGGCAGAGGGGGAAGAUCAGACGAAGAGAGAGUUUCUAUGGAGGAGGAUCAGAGGAGAGAGGUCAGUAUGGGUAUAGGAAGGUCAGAAGAAG
RNAcentral lists this long non-coding RNA (202 nucleotides) under Manihot esculenta (cassava). Its description in RNAcentral is "long non-coding RNA (MESC_LNC011389)". Lineage: Eukaryota; Viridiplantae; Streptophyta; Magnoliopsida; Malpighiales; Euphorbiaceae. The record is from RNAcentral.